AGUGCGAGGGCAUAUCGCCCUCGCUUUUCUGGACUGUAGGGAGGUCGAGGAACAAGAGCUGGGCAAGACCGGUGCCAGCCGCCGCGGUAAUACCGGCAGCUCGAGUGAUGACCGAUGUUAUUGGGCCUAAAGCGUCCGUAGCUGGCCGCGCAAGUCCGUCGGGAAAUCCACCUGCUUAACAGGUGGGCGUCCGGCGGAAACUGCACGGCUUGAGACAGGAAGGCUCGAGGGGUACGUUCGGGGUAGGAGUGAAAUCCCGUAAUCCUGAACGGACCACCGAUGGCGAAAGCACCUCGAGAGGACUGAUCUGACAGUGAGGGACGAAAGCUGGGGUCUCGAACCGGAUUAGAUACCCGGGUAGUCCCAGCUGUAAACGAUGUUCGCUAGGUGUGUCACUCACUACGAGUGAGUGAUGUGCUGCAGGGAAGCCGCUAAGCGAACCGCCUGGGAAGUACGUCUGCAAGGAUGAAACUUAAAGGAAUUGGCGGGGGAGCACUACAACCGGAGGAGCCUGUGGUUUAAUUGGACUCAACGCCGGUAACCUUACCAGCCCCGACUACAGUGAUGACGGCCAGGUUGAUGCCCUCGUCACGACGCUGUAGAGAGGUGGUGCAUGGCCGCCGUCAGCUCGUACCGUGAGGCGUCCUGUUAAGUCAGGCAACGAGCGAGACCCGCACUGCUAAUUGCCAGCAUGUCCCUCGUGGAUGAUGGGUACAUUAGGAGGACUGCCGCCGCCAAGGCGGAGGAAGGAACGGGCAACGGUAGGUCAGUAUGCCCCGAAUGGGCUGGGCAACACGCGGGCUACAAUGGCCGAGACAAUGGGUUCCCACCCCG
This 834-nucleotide ribosomal RNA is filed under the name uncultured haloarchaeon. RNAcentral describes it as "bacterial SSU rRNA". It matches the Rfam family "Archaeal small subunit ribosomal RNA", at positions 384 to 1213 of the family's 1478-position model. Lineage: Archaea; Methanobacteriati; Methanobacteriota; Halobacteria; Halobacteriales; Halobacteriaceae. The record is from RNAcentral.